AGUGCAAAUGGCGAAUGCCUUGGCACCAGAUGUCGAUGAAGGACGUAGGAGGCUGCGAUAAGCCUCGGGGAGCUGUCAACCGAGCUGUGAUCCGAGGAUUUCCGAAUGGGGAAACCCAACUGGAGUUAUGUCCAGUUAUUUCUGCCUGAAUAUAUAGGGCAGAUAAAGGGAACGGGGGGAAGUGAAACAUCUCAGUACCCCCAGGAAGAGAAAACAACCGUGAUUCCGUUAGUAGUGGCGAGCGAAAGCGGAAGAGGCUAAACCAAUAGCAUGCCAACCCGGCAGGGGUUGUGUUAUUGGGGUCGUGGGACCAGUUAGGUCUAGCUGCCGCUAGAUCGAUGAGUCAGAAAAUCUAUAAGUAGGCGAAGGACGUGGGAAAGUCCGCCAAAGUGGGUGAUAGCCCCGUAGCCGAAACUUUUAGAUCUCAUUAUUGGUAUCCCAAGUAGUACCGAACUCGAGGAAUUUGGUAUGAAUCUGGCGGGACCACCCGCUAAGCCUAAAUAUUAUCUGGUGACCGAUAGCGAACUAGUACCGUGAGGGAAAGGUGAAAAGAACCCCGCAAGGGGAGUGAAAUAGAAUCUGAAACCGUUUGCAUACAAGCCGUAGGAGCGGGGCAACCUGUGACUGCGUGCCUUUUGAAGAAUGAGUCUACGAGUCAGUGUCAUGUUGCGAGGUUAACCCGUCGAGGGGAAGCCGUAGCGAAAGCGAGUCUGAAUAGGGCGAAUUAGUAGCAUGAUCUGGACCCGAAGCGAGGUGAUCUACGCAUGGCCAGGUUGAAGCGCGGGUAAGACCGCGUGGAGGACCGCACCCACGUAAGUUGAAAAUUGCGGGGAUGAGCUGUGUGUAGGGGUGAAAGGCCAAUCAAACUUCGUGAUAGCUGGUUCUCUCCGAAAUGCAUUUAGGUGCAGCGUUACGUGUUUCUUUCCGGAGGUAGAGCUACUGGAUGGUCGAGGGGCCCUACAAGGUUACCAACAUCAGCCAAACUCCGAAUGCCGGAAAGUGAGAACGUAGCAGUGAGACAGUGGGGGAUAAUCUUCAUUGUCGAGAGGGAAACAACCCAGAGUAGCAACUAAGGUCCCAAAGCGUGUGCUAAGUGGAAAAGGAUGUGAAGUCGCAUAGACAACCAGGAGGUUGGCUUAGAAGCAGCCACCCUUAAAAGAGUGCGUAAUAGCUCACUGGUCAAGUGAUUUCGCGCCGACAAUGUAACGGGGCUCAAGCACACCACCGAAGUUCUAUCAUUCACACACUAUCCCGGUCGUAAGAUCCAGGAGUGUGGAUGGGUAGGAGAGCGUCGUGUAGCUGGCGAAGCGGCGGAGGAAUCCAGCCGUGGAAGCUACACGAGUGAGAAUGUAGACAUGAGUAGCGAGAGUUGGGUGAGAAACCCAACCGCCGAAAGACCAAGGGUUCCUGGGCCAGGCUAAUCCGCCCAGGGUAAGUCGGGACCUAAGACGAGGCCGUCAGGCGUAGUCGAUGGACAACGGGUUGAUAUUCCCGUACCCGCGUAAGUUCGUCCCUGACGAACCUCCUAAUGCUAAGUUUUCGAAGCGUUAUUGGCGUAAGUCGAUGGCGUGGAGGGAACGACCCGGUGGAGUAGUAGUCAAGCAAUGGUGUGACACAGGAAGGUAGUCCAACCCGGGCGAUGGUUGUCCCGGGGUAAGAGUGUAGGGAGUUAUGUAGGCAAAUCCGCAUAACGUUUAACUGAGACUUGAUGCCGAGCCGAAUGGCGAAGUGGAUGAUCCUAUGCUGUCAAGAAAAGCAUCUAGCGAGAACUUAAGUGGCCCGUACCCGAAACCGACACAGGUGGUCAGGUAGAGAAUACCAAGGCGAUCGAGAGAAUCGUGGAUAAGGAACUCGGCAAAAUACCCCCGUAACUUCGGGAGAAGGGGGGCCAAUUUACGUGUAGGAGUUUUCCUCCGAAGCGUGAGUCGGCCGCAGAGACUAGGCUCAAGCGACUGUUUACCAAAAACACAGGUCCGUGCGAAGUUGCAAAACGAUGUAUACGGACUGACGCCUGCCCGGUGCUGGAAGGUUAAGGGGACUGGUUAGCCGCAAGGCGAAGCUGAGAACUUAAGCCCCAGUAAACGGCGGUGGUAACUAUAACCAUCCUAAGGUAGCGAAAUUCCUUGUCGGGUAAGUUCCGACCUGCACGAAUGGCGUAACGACUUGAGCGCUGUCUCAUCCGCGAACUCGGCGAAAUUGCAGUACGAGUAAAGAUGCUCGUUUAGCGCAGAAAGACGGAAAGACCCCGGGACCUUUACUAUACUUUGACAUUGGUACUCGGAACGGUUUGUGUAGCAUAGGUGGGAGCCAUUGAAGCUGGGACGCCAGUCCUGGUGGAGGCAACGUUGAAAUACCACUCUGAUCGUUUUGAGUUUCUAACCUCGGUCCGUGAUCCGGAUCAGGGACAGUGUCUGACGGGUAGUUUGACUGGGGCGGUCGCCUCCCAAAAAGUAACGGAGGCGCUCAAAGGUUCCCUCAGCCUGGUUGGCAAUCAGGUGUUGAGUGUAAGUGCACAAGGGAGCUUAACUGUGAGACAGACAUGUCGAGCAGGUACGAAAGUAGGAACUAGUGAUCCGGCGGUGGCUUGUGGAAGCGCCGUCGCUCAACGGAUAAAAGGUACCCCGGGGAUAACAGGCUGAUCUUGCCCAAGAGUCCAUAUCGACGGCAAGGUUUGGCACCUCGAUGUCGGCUCGUCGCAUCCUGGGGCUGGAGUAGGUCCCAAGGGUUGGGCUGUUCGCCCAUUAAAGCGGCACGCGAGCUGGGUUCAGAACGUCGUGAGACAGUUCGGUCCCUAUCUUCUGUGCUCGUAAGAAACUUGAGAAGGGCUGUCCCUAGUACGAGAGGACCGGGACGGACGAACCUCUGGUGUGUCGGUUGUAGCGCCAGCUGCACCGCCGAUUAGCUACGUUCGGAAGGGAUAACCGCUGAAAGCAUCUAAGCGGGAAGCUCGCUUCAAGAUUAGGUUUCU
Molecule: ribosomal RNA, 2968 nt
Filed under: freshwater metagenome
Description: bacterial LSU rRNA
Rfam family: Bacterial large subunit ribosomal RNA
Source: RNAcentral